GGUCAGGAUGAACGCUAGCGAUAGGCUUAACACAUGCAAGUCGAGGGGCAGCACGGUGUAGCAAUACACUGGUGGCGACCGGCGUACGGGUGCGUAACACGUAUGCAACCUACCCGCUAGUUGGGGGAUAACCCGGCGAAAGUCGGACUAAUAUCCCAUAUUAUUCUUACCGGGCAUCCGGUGAGUCUGAAAGAUUUAUCGAUUGCGGAUGGGCAUGCGGAUGAUUAGCUAGUAGGUGGGGUAACGGCUCACCUAGGCGACGAUCAUUAGGGGUUCUGAGAGGAAGGUCCCCCACACUGGAACUGAGACACGGUCCAGACUCCUACGGGAGGCAGCAGUGAGGAAUAUUGGUCAAUGGGCGCUAGCCUGAACCAGCCAAGUCGCGUGAAGGAUGACAGAUCUAUGGUUUGUAAACUUCUUUUGCAGGGGAGUAAAGUGCGACACGUGUGUUGUAUUGCAAGUACCCUGCGAAUA
Molecule: ribosomal RNA, 474 nt
Filed under: uncultured bacterium
Lineage: Bacteria
Description: bacterial SSU rRNA
Rfam family: Bacterial small subunit ribosomal RNA
Source: RNAcentral